UACGAAGGGGGCUAGCGUUGCUCGGAAUUACUGGGCGUAAAGGGAGCGUAGGCGGACAUUUAAGUCAGAGGUGAAAUCCCGGAGCUUAACUUCGGAACUGCCUUUGAUACUGGGUGUCUUGAGUGUGAGAGAGGUAUGUGGAACUCCGAGUGUAGAGGUGAAAUUCGUAGAUAUUCGGAAGAACACCAGUGGCGAAGGCGACAUACUGGCUCAUUACUGACGCUGAGGCUCGAAAGCGUGGGGAGCAAAC
This 250-nucleotide ribosomal RNA is filed under the name uncultured bacterium. Its description in RNAcentral is "partial 16S ribosomal RNA". It matches the Rfam family "Bacterial small subunit ribosomal RNA", at positions 524 to 773 of the family's 1533-position model. The record is from RNAcentral.